CAUUAUUUGCCAAGCUUAACAAGUAUUUGGGAAACGGGUACUUCACAACCGAUGUUCACAGGCGGCAGCUUCGGAAACUUGAAAUCGUUGGACGUCGUUCAUUGUAACCAGUUGAAAUAUUUGUUUUCGUCUUCCAUAGCCAAACUUCUUGUCAGUAUAGAGGACAUAGAAGUUCAGAACUGUGAGCAAAUAGAAGAAAUCGUUGAUGCAGAAGAAGAAACUGAUGAAAUAAUUGCAUUACCUAAAUUGAACUCCCUCAAGCUUGGAAAUCUGUCAAACCUCAAGUAUUUUUGUGGUGAAGCUUAUAGUUUGAAGUUGCCGUCUUUGGUGUCAUUGAGGGUUAUUAAUUUGCAAAAUUUCAAGAUAUUUGCUCCU
This 375-nucleotide long non-coding RNA is filed under the name Malus domestica (apple). Its description in RNAcentral is "long non-coding RNA (MDOM_LNC002459)". The record is from RNAcentral. Lineage: Eukaryota; Viridiplantae; Streptophyta; Magnoliopsida; Rosales; Rosaceae.